GAUGAACGCUAGCGGCAGGCCUAACACAUGCAAGUCGAGGGGCAGCACAGAAACAGCAAUGUUUUGGUGGCGACCGGCGGACGGGUGCGUAACGCGUAUGCAACCUACCUUUAACAGGGGGAUAACGGAGAGAAAUUUCCACUAAUACCCCAUAACAUCGAUCAAGGCAUCUUGAUUGGUUGAAAACUCCGGUGGUUAAAGAUGGGCAUGCGUUGUAUUAGGUAGUUGGUGAGGUAAUGGCCCACCAAGCCUACGAUAGAUAGGGGGACUGGGAGGUUAGCCCCCCACACUGGUACUGAGACACGGACCAGACUCCUACGGGAGGCAGCAGUGAGGAAUAUUGGUCAAUGGGGGCAACCCUGAACCAGCCAUGCCGCGCGCAGGAAGACGGCUCUAUGAGUUGUAAACUGCUUUUAAACAGGGAUAAAGCACAGUAUGUAUACUGUGUUGAAGGUACUGUAAGAAUAAGGAUCGGCUAACUCCGUGCCAGCCGCCGCGGUAA
RNAcentral lists this ribosomal RNA (502 nucleotides) under uncultured bacterium. Its description in RNAcentral is "partial 16S ribosomal RNA". It matches the Rfam family "Bacterial small subunit ribosomal RNA", at positions 28 to 523 of the family's 1533-position model. The record is from RNAcentral.